AGUGAACGCUGGCGGUAGGCCUAACACAUGCAAGUCGAACGGCAGCACAGUAAGAGCUUGCUCUUACGGGUGGCGAGUGGCGGACGGGUGAGGAAUACAUCGGAAUCUACUUUUUCGUGGGGGAUAACGUAGGGAAAAUUACGCUAAUACCGCAUACGACCUACGGGUGAAAGCAGGGGAUCUUCGGACCUUGCGCGAUUGAAUGAGCCGAUGUCGGAUUAGCUAGUUGGCGGGGUAAAGGCCCACCAAGGCGACGAUCCGUAGCUGGUCUGAGAGGAUGAUCAGCCACACUGGAACUGAGACACGGUCCAGACUCCUACGGGAGGCAGCAGUGGGGAAUAUUGGACAAUGGGCGCAAGCCUGAUCCAGCCAUACCGCGUGGGUGAAGAAGGCCUUCGGGUUGUAAAGCCCUUUUGUUGGGAAAGAAAAGCAGCAGGUUAAUACCCCGCUGUUCUGACGGUACCCAAAGAAUAAGCACCGGCUAACUUCGUG
Molecule: ribosomal RNA, 492 nt
Filed under: uncultured bacterium
Lineage: Bacteria
Description: partial 16S ribosomal RNA
Rfam family: Bacterial small subunit ribosomal RNA
Source: RNAcentral